Molecule: ribosomal RNA, 246 nt
Filed under: uncultured Actinomycetes bacterium
Lineage: Bacteria; Bacillati; Actinomycetota; Actinomycetes
Description: uncultured actinobacterium partial 16S ribosomal RNA
Rfam family: Bacterial small subunit ribosomal RNA
Source: RNAcentral
GACGAACGCUGGCGGCGUGCUUAACACAUGCAAGUCGAGCGGUAAGGCCCUUUCGGGGGUACACGAGCGGCGAACGGGUGAGUAACACGUGGGUGACCUGCCUUUAGCUCUGGGAUAAGCCUGGGAAACUGGGUCUAAUACCGGAUAUGACUCCAUGAUGCAUGUUGUGGGGUGGAAAGCUUUUGCGGCUGGAGAUGGGCCCGCGGCCUAUCAGCUUGUUGGUGGGGUGAUGGCCUACCAAGGCGA